Molecule: transfer RNA, 73 nt
Filed under: Ehrlichia sp. JZT12
Lineage: Bacteria; Pseudomonadati; Pseudomonadota; Alphaproteobacteria; Rickettsiales; Anaplasmataceae
Description: tRNA-Asn
Rfam family: tRNA
About the family: Transfer RNA (tRNA) molecules are approximately 80 nucleotides in length. Their secondary structure includes four short double-helical elements and three loops (D, anti-codon, and T loops).
Source: RNAcentral
UCCUCGGUAGCUCAGCAGGUAGAGCAGUUGGCUGUUAACCAACGGGUCGCUGGUUCGAGUCCGGCCCGGGGAG